Molecule: RNase P RNA, 378 nt
Filed under: Dehalococcoidia bacterium
Lineage: Bacteria; Bacillati; Chloroflexota; Dehalococcoidia
Description: RNase P RNA component class A
Rfam family: Bacterial RNase P class A
About the family: Ribonuclease P (RNase P) is a ubiquitous endoribonuclease, found in archaea, bacteria and eukarya as well as chloroplasts and mitochondria. Its best characterised activity is the generation of mature 5'-ends of tRNAs by cleaving the 5'-leader elements of precursor-tRNAs.
Source: RNAcentral
CCAGGGGGCCGGACGGCCGCCGGCGGGAGCCUUCGGGCUCUCGCGGGAGGAAAGUCCGAACUCCACCGGACAGGGCGCCGGCUAACAGCCGGGCGGCGCGAGCCGACGGAAAGUGCCACAGAAACAAACCGCCGUGGCCCUCGGGCUGCGGUAAGGGUGAAAUGGUGCGGUAAGAGCGCACCGGCGUCCCGGCAACGGGGCGGCCGUGCAAACCCCGCCCGGAGCAAGGCCAAAUAGGGGAGCGACGGGACGUCCGGGCCCGCUCCCGGGUAGGCCGCUGGAGGCGGCGGGCAACCGCCGUCCUAGAUGGAUGGCCGUCACCGUGCCCACCGCGAGGCGGGCGCGGUACAGAAUUCGGCUUACAGGCCCCCUGGCAAC